This 403-nucleotide ribosomal RNA is filed under the name uncultured bacterium. RNAcentral describes it as "bacterial SSU rRNA". It matches the Rfam family "Bacterial small subunit ribosomal RNA", at positions 355 to 775 of the family's 1533-position model. The record is from RNAcentral.
UGGGGAAUAUUGCACAAUGGGGGAAACCCUGAUGCAGCGACGCCGCGUGGAGGAAGGAGGUCUUCGGAUUGUAAACUCCUGUUGUUGGGGAAGAUAAUGACGGUACCCAACAAGGAAGUGACGGCUAACUACGUGCCAGCAGCCGCGGUAAAACGUAGGUCACAAGCGUUGUCCGGAAUUACUGGGUGUAAAGGGAGCGCAGGCGGGAAGACAAGUUGGAAGUGAAAUCUAUGGGCUCAACCCAUAAACUGCUUUCAAAACUGUUUUUCUUGAGUAGUGCAGAGGUAGGCGGAAUUCCCGGUGUAGCGGUGGAAUGCGUAGAUAUCGGGAGGAACACCAGUGGCGAAGGCGGCCUACUGGGCACCAACUGACGCUGAGGCUCGAAAGUGUGGGUAGCAAACAG